This 253-nucleotide ribosomal RNA is filed under the name uncultured bacterium. Its description in RNAcentral is "partial 16S ribosomal RNA". It matches the Rfam family "Bacterial small subunit ribosomal RNA", at positions 524 to 776 of the family's 1533-position model. The record is from RNAcentral.
GACGUAGCGUGCGAGCGUUGUUCGGAAUCACUGGGCUUAAAGGGCGCGUAGGCGGGCCUUCAAGUCCGGGGUGAAAUCCUCCAGCCUAACUGGAGAAGAGCCUCGGAGACUGAGGGCCUCGAGGAGGGUAGGGGCGUGCGGAACUCUGGGUGGAGCGGUGAAAUGCAUUGAUAUCCAGAGGAACACCAAUGGCGAAGGCAGCUCGCUGGAACGGUACUGACGCUGAGGCGCGAAAGCGUGGGGAGCAAACAGG